RNAcentral lists this ribosomal RNA (460 nucleotides) under uncultured bacterium. RNAcentral's name for it is "partial 16S ribosomal RNA". It matches the Rfam family "Bacterial small subunit ribosomal RNA", at positions 338 to 795 of the family's 1533-position model. The record is from RNAcentral.
CCUACGGGUGGCAGCAGUGAGGAAUAUUGGUCAAUGGGCGGGAUCCUGAACCAGCCAAGCCGCGUGAGGGAAGAAGGUACUGAGAAUUGUAAACCUCUUUUGUCACGGGACAAAGUCCGCUACGAGUCGCCGUAUGAGUGUACGUGACGAAAAAGCAUCGGCUAACUCCGUGCCAGCAGCCGCGGUAAUACGGAGGAUUCGAGCGUUAUCCGGAUUUAUUGGGUUUAAAGGGUGCGGAGGCGGUUUUUUAAGUUAGCGGUUAAAUGCCGGGGCUCAACCCCGGGGCGGCCGCUGAUACUGGAGUGCUAGAGUUGGAGAGAAGUAUGCGGAAUGUGUGGUGUAGCGGUGAAAUGCAUAGAUAUCACGAAGAACACCGAUUGCGAAGGCAGCAUGCCGGGUCCAAACUGACGCUGAGGCACGAAAGCGUGGGUAUCGAACAGGAUUAGAUACCCGUGUAGUC